GGCUGGACAGCCUGGCAGACCCAGGCUCAAGGCACAGAGGGAUCGGGAGAGACGCCUGGCGAGGCGUCCCCUUGGCGAUCCGCCCGAUGCCGCGCCCCCCGGACUCGCGCCGACUGAGCUGGCCCAGAACUGGACUUAAAAAGGGAGGUCUAGAGGAACAGAAGAAACAUGACUCGAUACUCUUGCUGUAUCUACUACGGCAGCGGACCUCUUGGCUGGACUCCUUGUUCUGUGCCCCCCCCCCCCCAUCUAAAUCUUAACCAAGCCAGUGACUAUGCCCAUCACUGUAAUUAUCAGUCGUCAAUCCUCAGUCACAGCAGAACUGGACUAAUAGGAGAACUGGAUCACCAGCAGAGAUGGAUUUAUUUUAAAUUAAUAAAUUUAUAGUGACAAGG
Molecule: long non-coding RNA, 395 nt
Organism: Zalophus californianus (California sea lion)
Lineage: Eukaryota; Metazoa; Chordata; Mammalia; Carnivora; Otariidae
Exons: 3
Source: RefSeq, a predicted model, not a curated record